AACGAACGCUGGCGGCAUGCCUAACACAUGCAAGUCGAACGAGACCUUCGGGUCUAGUGGCGCACGGGUGCGUAACGCGUGGGAACCUGCCCUUAGGUUCGGAAUAACUCCCCGAAAGGGGUGCUAAUACCGGAUAAUGUCUUCGGACCAAAGAUUUAUCGCCUUUGGAUGGGCCCGCGUUGGAUUAGCUAGUUGGUAGGGUAAAAGCCUACCAAGGCGAUGAUCCAUAGCUGGUCUGAGAGGAUGAUCAGCCACACUGGGACUGAGACACGGCCCAGACUCCUACGGGAGGCAGCAGUGGGGAAUAUUGGACAAUGGGCGAAAGCCUGAUCCAGCAAUGCCGCGUGAGUGAUGAAGGCCUUAGGGUUGUAAAGCUCUUUUACCCGGGAUGAUAAUGACAGUACCGGGAGAAUAAGCGCCGGCUAACUCCGUG
This 433-nucleotide ribosomal RNA is filed under the name uncultured bacterium. RNAcentral's name for it is "partial 16S ribosomal RNA". It matches the Rfam family "Bacterial small subunit ribosomal RNA", at positions 29 to 507 of the family's 1533-position model. The record is from RNAcentral.